Molecule: transfer RNA, 73 nt
Filed under: Candidatus Brocadiia bacterium
Lineage: Bacteria; Pseudomonadati; Planctomycetota; Candidatus Brocadiia
Also listed under: 1 other name
Description: tRNA-Lys
Rfam family: tRNA
About the family: Transfer RNA (tRNA) molecules are approximately 80 nucleotides in length. Their secondary structure includes four short double-helical elements and three loops (D, anti-codon, and T loops). Further hydrogen bonds mediate the characteristic L-shaped molecular structure. tRNAs have two regions of fundamental functional importance: the anti-codon, which is responsible for specific mRNA codon recognition, and the 3' end, to which the tRNAs corresponding amino acid is attached (by aminoacyl-tRNA synthetases). tRNAs cope with the degeneracy of the genetic code in two manners: having more than one tRNA (with a specific anti-codon) for a particular amino acid; and 'wobble' base-pairing, i.e. permitting non-standard base-pairing at the 3rd anti-codon position.
Source: RNAcentral
GCGCCCUUAGCUCAGUUGGUAGAGCAGCUGACUCUUAAUCAGCGGGUCGGAGGUUCGAAUCCUCCAGGGCGCA